Molecule: non-coding RNA, 25 nt
Filed under: Cricetulus griseus (Chinese hamster)
Lineage: Eukaryota; Metazoa; Chordata; Mammalia; Rodentia; Cricetidae
Source: RNAcentral
UCUCCGGGUUCACUUUAAGAAUACC